This is a non-coding RNA of Triticum aestivum (bread wheat), 134 nucleotides long. Lineage: Eukaryota; Viridiplantae; Streptophyta; Magnoliopsida; Poales; Poaceae. The record is from Rfam.
AAAAUACUCCUUCGUUCCAAAAUUCUUGUCUUGGAUUUGUGUAGAUACGGAUGUACCUAAUACUAAAACGUGACUUGAUACAUCCGUAUUUAGACAAAUCUAAGACAAGAAUUUUAGGAUAGAGGGAGUACGUC